GAUGAACGCUGGCGGCGUGCCUAAUACAUGCAAGUCGAGCGAACGGACGAGAAGCUUGCUUCUCUGAUGUUAGCGGCGGACGGGUGAGUAACACGUGGAUAACCUACCUAUAAGACUGGGAUAACUUCGGGAAACCGCAGCUAAUACCGGAUAAUAUUUUGAACCGCAUGGUUCAAAAGUGAAAGACGGUCUUGCUGUCACUUAUAGAUGGAUCCGCGCUGCAUUAGCUAGUUGGUAAGGUAACGGCUUACCAAGGCAACGAUGCAUAGCCGACCUGAGAGCGUGAUCGGCCACACUGGAACUGAGACACGGUCCCGACUCCUACGGGAGGCAGCAGUAGGGAAUCUUCCGCGAUGGGCGAAAGCCUGACGGAGCAACGCCGCGUGAGUGAUGAAGGUCUUCGGAUCGUAAAACUCUGUUAUUAGGGAAGAACAUAUGUGUAAGUAACUGUGCACAUCUUGACGGUACCUAAUCAGAAAGCCACGGCUAACUACGUG
This 497-nucleotide ribosomal RNA is filed under the name uncultured bacterium. RNAcentral's name for it is "partial 16S ribosomal RNA". It matches the Rfam family "Bacterial small subunit ribosomal RNA", at positions 28 to 507 of the family's 1533-position model. The record is from RNAcentral.